Molecule: ribosomal RNA, 866 nt
Filed under: Lactococcus garvieae subsp. garvieae
Lineage: Bacteria; Bacillati; Bacillota; Bacilli; Lactobacillales; Streptococcaceae
Description: bacterial SSU rRNA
Rfam family: Bacterial small subunit ribosomal RNA
Source: RNAcentral
GAUAGCUUGCUAUUUUUAUGAAGAGCGGCCCAACUUGGUGAGUAACGCGUGGGAAAUCUGCCGAGUAGCGGGGGACAACGUUUGGAAACGAACGCUAAUACCGCAUAACAAUGAGAAUCGCAUGAUUCUUAUUUGAAAGAAGCAAUUGCUUCACUACUUGAUGAUCCCGCGUUGUAUUAGCUAGUUGGUAGUGUAAAGGACUACCAAGGCGAUGAUACAUAGCCGACCUGAGAGGGUGAUCGGCCACACUGGGACUGAGACACGGCCCAGACUCCUACGGGAGGCAGCAGUAGGGAAUCUUCGGCAAUGGGGGCAACCCUGACCGAGCAACGCCGCGUGAGUGAAGAAGGUUUUCGGAUCGUAAAACUCUGUUGUUAGAGAAGAACGUUAAGUAGAGUGGAAAAUUACUUAAGUGACGGUAUCUAACCAGAAAGGGACGGCUAACUACGUGCCAGCAGCCGCGGUAAUACGUAGGUCCCAAGCGUUGUCCGGAUUUAUUGGGCGUAAAGCGAGCGCAGGUGGUUUCUUAAGUCUGAUGUAAAAGGCAGUGGCUCAACCAUUGUGUGCAUUGGAAACUGGGAGACUUGAGUGCAGGAGAGGAGAGUGGAAUUCCAUGUGUAGCGGUGAAAUGCGUAGAUAUAUGGAGGAACACCGGAGGCGAAAGCGGCUCUCUGGCCUGUAACUGACACUGAGGCUCGAAAGCGUGGGGAGCAAACAGGAUUAGAUACCCUGGUAGUCCACGCCGUAACGAUGAGUGCUAGCUGUAGGGAGCUAUAAGUUCUCUGUAGCGCAGCUACGCAUUAAGCACUCCGGCCUGGGGGAGUACGACCCGCAAGGUUGAAACUCAAGGGAGUGAACCGGGGCCG